CGCUGGCGGCAUGCCUAACACAUGCAAGUCGAACGAGACCUUCGGGUCUAGUGGCGCACGGGUGCGUAACACGUGGGAAUUUGCCUCGGGGUAUGGAAUAACUCAGGGAAACUUGAGCUAAUACCAUAUAAUGUCUUCGGACCAAAGAUUUAUCGCCCUGAGAUAAGCCCGCGUAGGAUUAGCUAGUUGGUGGGGUAAAGGCUCACCAAGCCGACGAUCUGUAGCUGGUCUGAGAGGACGACCAGCCACACUGGGACUGAGACACGGCCCAGACUCCUACGGGAGGCAGCAGUGGGGAAUUUUGGACAAUGGGCGCAAGCCUGAUCCAGCAAUGCCGCGUGCAGGAUGAAGGCCUUCGGGUUGUAAACUGCUUUGUACGGAACGAAACGGUGGGCUCUAAUACAGUUUGCUAAUGACGGUACCGUAAGAAUAAGCACCGGCUAACUACGUG
Molecule: ribosomal RNA, 451 nt
Filed under: uncultured bacterium
Lineage: Bacteria
Description: bacterial SSU rRNA
Rfam family: Bacterial small subunit ribosomal RNA
Source: RNAcentral